Molecule: ribosomal RNA, 569 nt
Filed under: uncultured bacterium
Lineage: Bacteria
Description: bacterial SSU rRNA
Rfam family: Bacterial small subunit ribosomal RNA
Source: RNAcentral
CCUACGGGAGGCAGCAGUGGGGAAUAUUGCACAAUGGGCGAAAGCCUGAUGCAGCGACGCCGCGUGAGGGAUGACGGCCUUCGGGUUGUAAACCUCUUUCAGCAGGGAAGAAGCGAAAGUGACGGUACCUGCAGAAGAAGCGCCGGCUAACUACGUGCCAGCAGCCGCGGUAAUACGUAGGGCGCAAGCGUUGUCCGGAAUUAUUGGGCGUAAAGAGCUCGUAGGCGGCUUGUCACGUCGGAUGUGAAAGCCCGAGGCUUAACCUCGGGUCUGCAUUCGAUACGGGCUAGCUAGAGUGUGGUAGGGGAGAUCGGAAUUCCUGGUGUAGCGGUGAAAUGCGCAGAUAUCAGGAGGAACACCGGUGGCGAAGGCGGAUCUCUGGGCCAUUACUGACGCUGAGGAGCGAAAGCGUGGGGAGCGAACAGGAUUAGAUACCCUGGUAGUCCACGCCGUAAACGUUGGGAACUAGGUGUUGGCGACAUUCCACGUCGUCGGUGCCGCAGCUAACGCAUUAAGUUCCCCGCCUGGGGAGUACGGCCGCAAGGCUAAAACGUCAAAGGAAUUGACGG